GACGAACGCUGGCGGCGUGCUUAACACAUGCAAGUCGAGCGGUAAGGCCCUUUCGGGGGUACGACGAGCGGCGAACGGGUGAGUAACACGUGGGUGACCUGCCCUCAGCUCUGGGAUAAGCCUGGGAAACCGGGUCUAAUACCGGAUAUGACUCCAUGACGCAUGUUGUGGGGUGGAAAGCCUUGUGCGGCUGAGGAGUGGGCCCGGCCGGCCUAUCAGCUUGUUGGUGGGGUGAUGGCCUACCAAGGCGACGACGGGUAGCCGGCCUGAGAGGGCGACCGGCCACACUGGGACUGAGACACGGCCCAGACUCCUACGGGAGGGCAGCAGUGGGGAAUCUUGCGCAAUGGGCGAAAGCCUGACGCAGCGACGCCGCGUGAGGGAUGACGGCCUCGGUU
Molecule: ribosomal RNA, 398 nt
Filed under: uncultured bacterium
Lineage: Bacteria
Description: bacterial SSU rRNA
Rfam family: Bacterial small subunit ribosomal RNA
Source: RNAcentral